GAAGAACCUUACCUGGUCUUGACAUCCACAGAACUUUCCAGAGAUGGAUUGGUGCCUUCGGGAACUGUGAGACAGGUGCUGCAUGGCUGUCGUCAGCUCGUGUUGUGAAAUGUUGGGUUAAGUCCCGCAACGAGCGCAACCCUUAUCCUUUGUUGCCAGCGGUCCGGCCGGGAACUCAAAGGAGACUGCCAGUGAUAAACUGGAGGAAGGUGGGGAUGACGUCAAGUCAUCAUGGCCCUUACGACCAGGGCUACACACGUGCUACAAUGGCGCAUACAAAGAGAAGCGACCUCGCGAGAGCAAGCGGACCUCAUAAAGUGCGUCGUAGUCCGGAUUGGAGUCUGCAACUCGACUCCAUGAAGUCGGAAUCGCUAGUAAUCGUGGAUCAGAAUGCCACGGUGAAUACGUUCCCGGGCCUUGUACACACCGCCCGUCACACCAUGGGAGUGGGUUGCAAAAGAAGUAGGUAGCUUAACCUUCGGGAGGGCGCUUACCACUUUGUGAUUCAUGACUGGGGUGAAGUCGUAACAAGGUAACCGUAGGGGAACCUGCGGUUGGAUCACCUCCUUACCUUAAAGAAGC
This 582-nucleotide ribosomal RNA is filed under the name Bifidobacterium longum. RNAcentral describes it as "bacterial SSU rRNA". It matches the Rfam family "Bacterial small subunit ribosomal RNA", at positions 963 to 1533 of the family's 1533-position model. The record is from RNAcentral. Lineage: Bacteria; Bacillati; Actinomycetota; Actinomycetes; Bifidobacteriales; Bifidobacteriaceae.